Molecule: long non-coding RNA, 692 nt
Filed under: Salmo salar (Atlantic salmon)
Lineage: Eukaryota; Metazoa; Chordata; Actinopteri; Salmoniformes; Salmonidae
Description: lncRNA (ENSSSAG00000099371.1)
Source: RNAcentral
GUGUCCUUUUUGAACUUGCCCGCAUACAUUACGGAUGAGGAGAUAGAAGAGAAACUAAAAGGCUGGAAGGUGAAGGCGACCACGCCAAUCAAGAGGAGGAUGUGGCCAGGAACGGACAUUGUAGAUGGGACAAGAUUUUGCAAGGACCUGAGCCCUAGGACCAUGCCUCAGGACUACCUGGUAUGAUGACUCCUUGCUGUCCCCAGUCCACCUGGCCGUGCUGCUGCUCCAGUUUCAACUGUUCUGCCUGCGGCUAUGGAACCCUGACCUGUUCACCGGACGUGCUUGUUGCACCCUCGACAACUACUAUGAUUAUUAUUAUUUGACCAUGCUGGUCAUUUAUGAACAUUUUAACAUUUUAACAUUUUGACCAUGUUCUGUUUUAAUAUCCACCCUGCACAGCCAGAAGAGGACUGGCCACCCCUCAUAGCCUGGUUCCUCUCUAGGUUUCUUCCUAGGUUUUUGGCCUUUCUAGGGAGUUUUUCCUAGGGAGUUUUUCCUAGCCACCGUGCUUCUUUCACAUGCUUUGCUUGCUGUUUGGGGUUUUAGGCUGGGUUUCUGUACAGCACUUUGAGAAUAUCAGCUGAUGUACGAAGGGCUAUAUAAAAAUAAAUUUGAUUUGAUUUGAUAAUGUGUAAAAUUAAUUGUGAGAUAGAAAGGGAAUGCGACGUAUGUGGACGUUUCCCGGAAAC